RNAcentral lists this ribosomal RNA (497 nucleotides) under uncultured bacterium. Its description in RNAcentral is "partial 16S ribosomal RNA". It matches the Rfam family "Bacterial small subunit ribosomal RNA", at positions 28 to 507 of the family's 1533-position model. The record is from RNAcentral.
GAUGAACGCUGGCGGCGUGCCUAAUACAUGCAAGUCGAGCGAACAGACGAGGAGCUUGCUCCUCUGACGUUAGCGGCGGACUGGUGAGUAACACGUGGAUAACCUACCUAUAAGACUGGGAUAACUUCGGGAAACCGGAGCUAAUACCGGAUAAUAUAUUGAACCGCAUGGUUCAAUAGUGAAAGACGGUUUUGCUGUCACUUAUAGAUGGAUCCGCGCCGCAUUAGCUAGUUGGUAAGGUAACGGCUUACCAAGGCAACGAUGCGUAGCCGACCUGAGAGGGUGAUCGGCCACACUGGAACUUAGACACGGUCCAGACUCCUACGGGAGGCAGCAGUAGGGAAUCUUCCGCAAUGGGCGAAAGCCUGACGGAGCAACGCCGCGUGAGUGAUGAAGGUCUUCGGAUCGUAAAACUCUGUUAUUAGGGAAGAACAAAUGUGUAAGUAACUAUGCACGUCUUGACGGUACCUAAUCAGAAAGCCACGGCUAACUACGUG